GUCAGAGAGAUGCAGUGUUGCUGGGUCUGAAGAAGGCCAUGGGCCACGUAACUUGGGCGGCCUCUGAAAGCUGCAAAUGUUCUGGUUUCUGCUGUUCAGUUUGAUAUUCUGGUGAGCACAGACUCAAGAGGGAACAGAACUGCAGGGCUGCCCUCUUUGAUGCAUAUUAAAGUCACCUCUCUGAAAAGGAACUAGAAAGCGCCAGAAAGUAAUGUGGUCCUUUCCUAGUAAGAUCUGAAUCAUGGGCAAUUAAAAAAAAGGUACCUGGCGCCUGGAUGGCUCAGCGAUUGGGCGUCUGCCUUCGGCUCGUGUCAUGAUCUCGGCAACCUG
Molecule: long non-coding RNA, 330 nt
Organism: Zalophus californianus (California sea lion)
Lineage: Eukaryota; Metazoa; Chordata; Mammalia; Carnivora; Otariidae
Exons: 3
Source: RefSeq, a predicted model, not a curated record